AUGACCACUGUUCGUACACUUCUUGCCGUUGCCUCUGCACUCCACUGGUCUAUAUCUCAGCUUGAUGUUAAAAAUGCCUUUCUUAAUGGUGAGCUGCGUGAGGAGGUGUACAUGCAGCCACCCCCUAGGUAUUCUGUUCCUGAUGGCAUGGUAUGUCGUCUUCGUGGCUCUCUCUAUGGCCUUAAGCAAGCCCCUCGCGCCUGGUUUGAGCGUUUUGCCUCUGUGGUCACUGCUGCUGGUUUUUCAGCCAGUGCUCAUGAUCCAGCCUUGUUUAUUCAGCUUUCUCCUCGUGGUCGAACUCUUCUUCUUCUCUAUGUUGAUGACAUGCUCAUCACUAGGGAUGACCCCGAGUAUAUUGCCUUUGUAAAGGCCCGUCUUAAUGAGCAGUUUCUUAUGUCUGAUCUUGGACCUCUUCGCUACUUUCUUGGGAUUGAAGUCUCUUCUACCUCUGAUGGCUUUUUUAUAUCCCAGGAAAAGUAUAUCCAGGAUCUUCUUGCUCGUGCUGCUCUCACUGACGAGCGCAUUGUUGAGACUCCUAUGGAGCUCAAUGUUCACCUCCGUGCUACUGAUGGUGAUCCUCUCCCUGACCCGACGCGUUAUCGUCAUCUUGUUGGCAGUCUUGUCUAUCUAGCUGUCACUCGUCCGGACAUCUCUUAUCCGGUUCAUAUUCUGAGUCAGUUUGUCUCUGCUCCCACAUCCGUUCACUAUAGUCAUCUCCUUCGUGUUCUCCGAUAUCUUCGGGGCACGAUCUCUCACCGUCUAUUCUUUCCUCGCUCCAGUUCUUUACAGCUUCAGGCCUAUUCGGAUGCUACGUGGGCUAGUGAUCCUUCUGAUCGCCUUUCACUUUCUGCUUACUGUGUUUUUCUUGGUGGUUCUCUCAUUGCCUGGAAGACGAAGAAAUAG
This 903-nucleotide ribosomal RNA is filed under the name Triticum aestivum (bread wheat). RNAcentral describes it as "partial small subunit ribosomal RNA". Lineage: Eukaryota; Viridiplantae; Streptophyta; Magnoliopsida; Poales; Poaceae. The record is from RNAcentral.